RNAcentral lists this ribosomal RNA (451 nucleotides) under uncultured bacterium. RNAcentral's name for it is "partial 16S ribosomal RNA". It matches the Rfam family "Bacterial small subunit ribosomal RNA", at positions 354 to 796 of the family's 1533-position model. The record is from RNAcentral.
GUGGGGAAUAUUGGACAAUGGGGGGAACCCUGAUCCAGCCAUGCCGCGUGUGUGAAGAAGGCCUUUUGGUUGUAAAGCACUUUAAGCGAGGAGGAGGCUACCGAGAUUAAUACUCUUGGAUAGUGGACGUUACUCGCAGAAUAAGCACCGGCUAACUCUGUGCCAGCAGCCGCGGUAAUACAGAGGGUUCAAGCGUUAAUCGGAUUUACUGGGCGUAAAGCGCGCGUAGGUGGCCAAUUAAGUCAAAUGUGACAUCCCCGAGCUUAACUUGGGAAUUGCAUUCGAGACUGGUUGGCUAGAGUAUGGGAGAGGAUGGUAGAAUUCCAGGUGUAGCGGUGAAAUGCGUAGAGAUCUGGAGGAAUACCGAUGGCGAAGGCAGCCAUCUGGCCUAAUACUGACACUGAGGUGCGAAAGCAUGGGGAGCAAACAGGAUUAGAAACCCUAGUAGUCC